RNAcentral lists this ribosomal RNA (225 nucleotides) under uncultured bacterium. Its description in RNAcentral is "partial 16S ribosomal RNA". It matches the Rfam family "Bacterial small subunit ribosomal RNA", at positions 28 to 253 of the family's 1533-position model. The record is from RNAcentral.
GACGAACGCUGGCGGCGUGCUUAACACAUGCAAGUCGAGCGGUAAGGCCCUUUCGGGGGUACGACGAGCAGCGAACGGGUGAGUAACACGUGGGUGACCUGCCCUCAGCUCUGGGAUAAGCCCGGGAAACUGGGUCUAAUACUGGAUAUGACUCCAUGACGCAUGUUGUGGGGUGGAAAGCCUUGUGCGGCUGAGGAUGGGCCCGCGGCCUAUCAGCUUGUUGGG